This 29293-nucleotide long non-coding RNA is filed under the name Vigna radiata. RNAcentral's name for it is "long non-coding RNA (VRAD_LNC000187)". The record is from RNAcentral. Lineage: Eukaryota; Viridiplantae; Streptophyta; Magnoliopsida; Fabales; Fabaceae.
AAAAUCAAGCUAAAUUUUGUUUUUGGGUAUGAAUCCCUUCUUUUUUUGCAGCUCUACCUUUUUCUUUUGGCAAUAAUGUAUUGUAAGAAAUUGAUGAUCCAUUCAAUGCUAUACUUUUUUAUUAAGGUGUGGAUAUGAUCAAGAAGGCUUACUUUUGAACACAUUGGCAAAGACAGAUGGAAUCAUGGGACUGAGCAGGGCAAAAGUGAGCCUACCUAACCAGUUAGCAAGUAAAGGGCUUAUUAAGAAUGUGGUUGGUCAUUGCUUGAGCAAUGAUGAAGUCGGUGGAGGUUACAUGUUUUUGGGUGAUGAUUUCUUGCCAUAUUGGGGUAUGACUUGGGUACCAAUGGCCUAUACCCUUACUACGUGAGUAUGAUUUCUUAAUUAAGAAUGUGAUUAUUCCCAUUUAAUUAUGAAGCGAGUUUGAUUUUCUUUUGUGAAACUGUUUUCAUUUGAAAAUGUUUUUAUGUAUUCUGAAACUGUGUUUUUCCUGAUGCCGAGUACUAUUCUGAUGUUUGCUCUGAUUCUUCUCGUGUGGAAUGCACUCUAAUCUACAGGGAUUUAUACCAAACUGAGAUUUUUGGAAUAAAUUAUGGAAAUCGGCAACUCAGUUUUGAUGGCCAAAGCAAAGUAGGAAAGGUGGUUUUUGAUAGUGGCAGUUCUUAUACAUAUUUCCCAAAAGAAGCAUACUUGGAUCUUGUUGCUUCUGUGAGUUUUUACAUUUAUCAAUCUGGAACCAUUUUGUAAAUUUUUCUUGAGUCUGUUCAUGAACACCACAAAUUCAUUACUUAUACGUAUUGGUGCAGCUUAAUGAAGUUUCUGGGUUGAAACUCGUUCAAGAUGAUUCAGAUACUACUUUACCCAUUUGCUGGCAAGCAAAUUUCCCAAUCAAGUAGAUAAACUACUCAAUGUGCAAUUAUUUUUUGCAUUUGUAAUGUUAUUUUUAUAAUAACUAAAGUAACUUAAUUUGUAAAGCAGUAAUUACACAAGGUGAAAUGACACUAUUUAGUUCUAAAAUCCAUGUUACAUGAAUGCAGAUCUGUCAAAGAUGUCAAGGAUUACUUCAAGACCUUAACUCUUCGGUUUGGAAACAAGUGGUGGAUUUUGUCCACAAUUUUUCAUAUACCUCCAGAGGGUUACUUGAUCAUUAGUGUAAUCCUAUCUUUCUAUUACAACUUUUGUUCCAACUGAUUUAGUUACUGUCAUUCAUUCUAAAAAACUACCUUUUUGCUGCAGAACAAAGGGAAUGUGUGCUUGGGUAUCCUUGAUGGUAGUGAUGUAAACGAUGGAUCCUCAAUUAUUCUUGGAGGUACUCUCAUCCUUAUGAAAACCUGAAAGCUUACAAAUAAUUUCUAUUUUUUUAAUAUCUCCAAUUUAUCUUACACUACUUGACUUAGCUUAUAAUCUUUGUAUAUUUGUGUUUAAUGUGUUUGAUGAUGAAUAACUCAACUGGGGUGAUUUUUGCAGACAUUUCAUUCAGAGGAUACUUAGUUGUGUAUGAUAAUGCAAAGCAGAAAAUUGGUUGGAAGCGAGCAGACUGUGACAUGUCAAGCAGAAGAUUGAGAAAGAAAAACAGUUUUAUCCCUGAUACCAUGCUAUAAUUCACUCUAAGGAAAACAAUAUAACUUGUAUUAUUUAGAUCCUUUCAUGCUAAAAUCUAAGAUGGCAUCCACGAAUAAAACAGCCAAUGUAGAGUUACACACAAAAUAUAGGAACUUAGAAGAGUAAUGGAUAUAAUAGCUUAUUUUAUACUCCAAUCACUAUUUCACUAUUAUAUCCUUUUUUUUUUUUCUAAAUAUAAGAUUCAUAUAACUAUUUUUUUUUUUUUCAAAACUUUUAAGUAGUUGAUGGAUGGAGAGAGGACAUUGAUAGUGUAGUUUUAAUAUUUAAAAUUAAAGUCUAUUUUUUUAAAAUUUUCAUGGAAAAGAGGAAGAGACGAAAUAUAGUGUUUACUGCUUGUAAAUUAAAGUAAUUUAAGAUACUUUAAUAGAAAAGUAAUCAAUAGAAAGGAUAAUUAAAAAAAGGGUCUUCUAUAAAAUUAUAAGAUUAAUGAAAAUAUAAAACCGAAUGAAAAAUACUUAAAGUAUAUAAAAAAGUUCUUAACUGAAAUAAUGUAAGCAGUUAUAGUAUAGACCAAAUUUAUAAUUUAAAAAUAUAAAAAUGGAAAUUACAGAAAAAGUAAGAGAUAUAUAAUUUAUUAUUUAGUGUAUAUACGGGUCAGAUACUAGAAGAAGGAAAAUAAUAAAUAGUCUUCUUUAUCCAAACCUGCCAAAAACAAAAUUGAGAGCGAAAGAUCAGACUGCACCCACCACUAACAAUGACGGAGCCGCCGCCGCCUCCGCCGCCGAAUCCUCCGGUACCGCCACCGUCACAAACCUUAUCGCCGGAAAACGACGUCGCAAUGUCUCCCCAAAACUCCUCCGAAGACCCAGACUCCUCCCUCCCCACCCAAAUGACUCCCGAGCCCGCCGUUCCGGAAUCCCCAGACUCCACCACGACCCGACAAGACCCGGUUCCACCGCCGCGAAAACGUCGCCGUCGCAAGAAGUUCUUUACGGAACUCAACGCUCCGUCCUCCACUCGCCGAAGCGACGUAGCCAAGGACUGCGACGUGGAAGCCCUAAUAGCGAUCUCGGUGGGGUUCCCAGUGGACUCGUUGACCGAGGAAGAGAUCGAAGCGAACGUGGUUUCCACCGUCGGUGGCUCCGAGCAAUCGAACUACAUCGUCGUCCGAAACCACAUAUUGGCGCGGUGGCGGUCCAACGUUUCUGUCUGGUUAACCCACGACCGGGCCCUCCGGUCAAUCCGGUCGGAGCACAAGGGUUUGGUUGAAACCGCGUACCGGUUCCUCCUGGAGCACGGUUACAUUAACUUCGGCCUCGCGCAAGAGAUAAAAACCCUAAAGCUGAAACCUUUCGAUGGGUCUGAUCGAGGAACGGUGAUUGUGAUCGGUGCUGGGUUCGCGGGUUUGGUUGCAGCUAGACAAUUAGUGUUUAUGGGGUUUAAAGUCGUGAUUUUGGAGGGUAGGACCCGACCCGGCGGGAGGGUCAAGACAAAGAAGAUGAGUGGUGAUGGUGUUGAGGCUGCAGCAGAUUUCGGUGGGAGUGUCCUCACUGGUAUAAAUGGGAACCCUCUUGGGGUACUUGCUAGGCAAUUGGGUUUGCCAUUGCAUAAGGUUAGGGAUAUUUGUCCUCUGUAUUUGCCUGAUGGUAGGAGUGUUGACCCUGAAGUUGACUCUAGGGUUGAGGUUUCGUUUAACAAGUUGUUGGAGAGGGUUUGUAAGCUCAGACAGGCGAUGAUUGAGGAGGUGAAGUCGGUGGAUGUGCCAUUGGGGACGGCAUUGGAGGCUUUCAGAAGGGUUUACAAGGUCGCUGAGGAUAAGGAGGAGAGGAUGCUGUUGAAUUGGCACCUUGCAAAUUUGGAGUACGCGAAUGCAACUCUCAUGUCCAACUUGUCGAUGGCGUAUUGGGAUCAGGAUGAUCCCUAUGAGAUGGGGGGUGAUCAUUGCUUCAUUCCAGGGGGGAAUGAGACAUUUGUUCGCGCAUUGGCAGAGGAUCUGCCGAUUUUCUAUGGGAGGACUGUGGAGUGUGUGAAGUAUGGGAGUGAUGGAGUGGCGGUUUCUGCUGGUGGGAUGGAGUUCAGAGGGGAUAUGGUGCUUUGUACAGUGCCAUUGGGGGUGCUUAAGAAGGGGAAUAUUGAGUUUGUGCCUGAACUUCCUCAGAGGAAGAAGGAUGCUAUUCGUAGGUUGGGGUUUGGGUUGUUGAACAAGGUUGCAAUUUUGUUUCCAUAUAAUUUCUGGGGCGGGGACAUUGAUACUUUUGGUCAUUUGACUGAGGAUUUGAGUAUGAGGGGUGAGUUUUUUUUGUUCUAUAGCUACUCCUCGGUGUCUGGGGGUCCGCUUCUGGUGGCUCUUGUUGCUGGGGAGGCUGCAAUUAGGUUUGAGAUGAUGUCACCGGUGGAGUCUGUGAAAAGGGUGUUGGACAUUCUGAAGGAUAUUUUUAAUCCAAAGGGGAUUGUUGUUCCGGAACCUGUUCAGGCGGUGUGUACUCGGUGGGGGAAGGAUCACUUUGCUUACGGAUCUUACUCUUAUGUUGCUGUUGGGUCUUCAGGGGAUGACUAUGACAUUCUUGCAGAGAGUGUUGGGAAUGGAAGAGUGUUCUUUGCUGGAGAGGCAACUAGCAAGCAAUAUCCUGCAACUAUGCAUGGAGCGUUUCUCAGUGGAAUGAGAGAGGCUGCAAACAUUUUGAGAGUGGCAAAGAGGAGGUCUUCCAUACCUGACACAUCAAAAAGUAACAUCCAGGAGGAUGAUGAUUUGCACAAACUGUUUUUGAAACCUGAUAUGGCAUUUGGUAGCUUCUCUGCAUUGUAUGAUCCAAAACUUAAAGAUCUUGAUUCCAGUUCAUUACUGAGGGUUAAGAUUGGAGGUGCUGGCAAUCUUUAUCUCUAUGCCUUGCUCUCAAAGAAGAGGAUCAUUGAGUUGAGUCAGGUGGAGGGGGAUGAGAACAGGAUGAGAAUUUUAAACCGCAAUUUCGGGGUGAGUUUAGUUGGGAGGAAGGGUUUAAGUGGUGCGGCUGAAUCUCUUAUUGGCAGCAUAAAACUGUCUAGACACAACUUUGAUGCAGUGGAAAAUUGACUUACGGCUGGAAAAGCAGAUUCUUAACAGCAUCAUGGAGAAUAGAACUUCCUUGAUCCUGUUAUAUUAUUAAACUUAGAUUCUUCAGAGAUCUAAUUAGAUUCUGACCAAUUUUCCACGUGUUACCUUUUUUUCAAGGAUGUUCCACAAUGAACAAAAGCAGUUAGCAGUACUGUUUUCUCUUUAUGAUUUUGAAUGUAAAAAUGUUAGGUCGAGUCUGGUAACUACUAAAACUCUUCAAGAACUAGUUCAAAUAGUGAAUUAAAGAUUCAAUGAUACCCCAAAGGGUGGCUUAGAUUUCUUCUUGGACAGGUCAUUUAUUUUGAAAUGAUUACUUUGUCCUUUAUAUUUUAUAAUAAUUAUAGUCUUUUAAAUUUUUUUCUCUGGAAGUCUUCUUUUUAUUAAACAAUUUGAAGUUUUAAAUUAAAAGUUUGAAAAACUAUUUUUAAAAUAUUUAAUCUAAAAUUAUAAUUUCAAAUUCUGAGUUUGUUAAUUUAAAAAUAAUUAGUAUCCCUUUUAUGUUCUGAUAAAAAAUAGUUGACACUGAAAACUUGAGAAAAGAGAAAUGAGAUGUAAAACGUAACUGUCGUCUCUCCUAAUGUACAGGAACAGCAGACAUUAAUUAAUAUGGCUUUCAGUUAUGAGACACAUCAACAAAUCAGCAAUCAAUCAAACUAUAUCUUACUAUAGUUGUGCAUGUGUGAUGUCUCUAAUUUUAAAAUAUACAUUUCAAUACCUUCAUAACUUUUUUUGUUUCUAAAUAAUUACUCAUUUUUCUUUUGUGAUAAAUAAAUAUCAUUUUUUUUAUAUAUUUUAAUAAAUUGAGAUUACUUUUCUUGUUAUACUUUAAAAUGUCAUACUGACUAAGAUUUGAAUAAAAUUAUAUAAAUAAAAAAUAAUUUUUAAAAUAAAAAUUCUUUUAUAAAUAAAAUAAGAAAAGUGAGUAUAUAUUAUUAAAAAAAUACAAAAAAUAAGUUUUGUUUAUUAGAGUAUGAGAAAUGUUUGUAUAUUUAAAAGUUUAAAAAAUAUAUAAAUUAUUUUUGUUAAAAAUAUAACAAAUAAAUAAUCAUUUUAAAAACCGAGAAUUGUAUAUUAUUUGUGUAAGUAAAUUUUUUUCUUAUAUCUUGUAUUCAUAUUAAUUUUUCAAACUUGACAACUUUAUUUAAUUAUUAUCAUGUUUAAGUUAACAUUUUGAUUACCAUUAAUAUUUCAUACUUGCAUGAACUUCUUUAAUUUUUCAAUGUAUCUUGUAUUAAUGUUAUCUAUGAUGUAUAUUUGAAUUCUAAAAUAUAAUUCAAAAUGUAUAUCUACAUUUAAAAUAUAUUCUAAAUUACACGAUUAGAAAAUACAUAUAAAUUAUUAAAAAUUAAUAAUUUUAUAUUUAUGCACUCUAAAACACAAUGUCUAAUUUUUUUUUUUUAUUUUCAAAUAGGACGAUUUGAAAAAUAUGAAUCACUCAAUCCAAAAAAUUUAAAUCACUGAAUCUAAAAUCUUUGUGCGGAAUUAUAUAGGAAAUUAUUAAAGCAUAGAAAGGAAAUGUGAAUUACAAGAAAAAAAAAACUACCCAAUUAAGAGUUUAAGUUUAUAUGGUCACCGAAUAAAUGUAAACCUAAUUGCCCACUUUUUUUACAUUAGCUACUGAUAUUUUAGAAUGGACAUAUUUUAAGCAGAUAAUGAAUAUAUUCAUUGUAUUGGUAAAUCAAAAUUUCAUACAAAAUAUGUUCACAUUGGUAAAUCAUAAUUAGUGGUCAUCAAAACCGAUCUCACCUCCGGACAAUGUUUCUUCACUACAAAGAACCUGGUAAUACUGAUAAAAUGAAAGCAAAGCAGGAUCACCACAAUGAUAUGUGAUACAAAAGAUUGAGCAAGUUGGCGUGUUGCCAAUUACACAAGAAAAUGUAAAUCUUAUAUAAAAAGAAAAAGAAAGAAAAACUAACGACAGCAGGCAGACUGAUCUAGCUAGACAUCUUGACUUGAUCACUAGAUUGUAGUGCUUGAGAGGCGAAAAACCUAACAUCAACAUCUGGAUCCUCACUCAGCUCAACCAGACAGGGACGAAUGGUAUUCUCAACGACCUUCAUUAUUCAAACGAUAAUUUCGAUCAGUAAUUAAAGAGACACUAAAAAAAAUAUGCAUUGGGAGAGGGCAACCCAACAGUCUUCUAUCAAACAGUAAUGCAUUUCAUAUCAUUCCUCACUGUCACAAGCUUUAUUGAAAAAAACAAACUAUAGUCUAUUGAGAACAAUUGGGACAGAGAUUUUCAAGUGAUAACAUUGCCAUUUACCAGUACCAAGCAGUCAGCUUAGCUUUCAACCAACUAGUUUUGUAAUCCAAGCAUUUUCCACAAAUAAUUAGUUUGAAAUUCUUUAUAUAGUGAUAAAGUCAAGAAACAACCAAUUCAAAGUAGCAUAAAAUAAAUUACAACAAAAACUAAUCUGGGCCUCAAUAUUUCUGAACCAAAUUAACACAUAAUAUGGCUCUCCUCGGAUUAAUUUUCAAAAUACUAGAUUUUUUAGUUUAGAGAUCCAUACGGUAUUGUAGUCCAAGUAACAUGUGAUGGAGGCAUGUUAAAGAUGAAACUUUAAAUGGAAGCUACUUACAGACUGAUCAACAAUUGGGAUGAGAGACUGCAACACUUUGGCUACAUUGAAUUUGAUAUUAGGUACCCUGCAAGACAUGUUAUGAGUAUUGGCUCAAAGGGAGAUACACAAAAGAAGUAAGGACUACACAAUUUUACCUAUCUUUUGAUGCAUUAAUGACCAGAGGGAGAAGUUUUGAAGAAGUAAUCUCCGAGCCCAAAACAGGAGCCAGUAGAGAAAUUGCUUGUAGGAUCGUCAUCCGAUACAGAUAGUGUGGAUCAGUAACCAUGUCCAAAACCUGCAAAGGAUACAGUAGUUCAUUAGAUAAUAGCAUUCAGGACAUAUUUUUCUAAUCCUUGAAGUACUAAGAAAAGUGUCUACUGAAACAAAAUUUCCAGCACACAUUCUACAAGUAGAUAGAAUAGAAUCUUUCCCCAGUCACUACCGAACCCAAUUCAAAAUCUAGGGUUUCUUUAAAUGAUAUAAACCUUGUUUUCCUUCUCCCAAUGCCUUUAAAGAAUGUAAGACUUUCCCUUUUCUUUUCACUUUAACCUUUUAGCCCUGUGUAAUUCCUUUUGCAGCUCGCAAACCAAUUCCAAUAGUUCGUUUCAUUUCUAGAUAUCGUGUGCUUACUUUUCCAUUAACAUUAUUUCUAAAUCAAUAUUACCUUGCAAUUUUUUUGUUUUCUUAUUAAUCUAUAGUUGAUUACGGGCUUUCCGCUUAUGCUAAGAUGUCAAUACCAAGAAACCUAUAUUAAUUUUAAUUGAUCUUUAAACAAAUUUCAUAACCUAAGCAAAAUUGGCCGCAGAUAGAAUUCCUACAAGUCAAGGUAAACAUUAAGGAUGUUCUAUGAUAUCACUGGUGUAGGAAUCCUUUUCUGUAGUUCAAGCUAAAACAUACUGAAAAUGUAGAUUAACAAACUAAGUUUCUGUUUUCAAACCUGGGGAAUAAUGUGUUGCAUUGCCCAAUCCGGUCCAAAUUCUUCUGCUAAGCGUUUGAUGUUAUUUGCGGCCGCAUCACGGAUUGAGUAUACCUACAAAUACAUGAACAUACAUUAAAGAAAUUCAAUAUAACACAACGAGUCUAUAAUAAAAAAUACUAAAAUAAGAAGCAGAACGGAAUUGAACACCCCUACCCCUAGUAAAAAGGAAUGAAUAGUUGUCUUCGUGACCAGAAGAGUUUUGAAUAUUUUUUUAUAACCGACUGGGUGAAUGAAAGAUUCAGUUUAAACCUUCCAUCAAACAUAAGACUUGUAAUCUUUAUAUUAAACAUUAAGUGGUAUUUUCCUUUUGGGUCUUUCUACAGUCAAUCCUAAACCACCAUCAAAUUGAAAAUUAAACAUAAAAUAACUUACACUAACUUUUGCUUAUUCUUUUCGCCCUCUAAAAUUAAGAUAUGUAAGUAACACCAAUUUCUCUUCUUUUUCCUUUUCAUGUGAAAAGAAAAGGCCAUGUUUCCAAAUACAUGUCAGAUAUAAGCACCAUAAAAAAAGCCAAGCACUGUAGUAGAGUUUGACCUGACUUGUUUGUUUAUUUAAAAGUAACGUAUUAAAGAUAAUAACGAGCUUUAAAAUUAUAGAAAAAAUCACAUUAUUAUUAUUAUUAUCACCAUCAUUUUGAUUAUCAAAAGAACUUCUUAAGAAAGACAGAAGGUACUACUCACUACAAGAGGAUAGGAUAUCCUAAAAACCUAAUCCAAAAAAUGAUCAAAAGGAAAACAUAAAAAUCAAGAACAUGAAACAUGUAUCAAUACAUAUCAAUCUCUCUGAAGAAGUAUAAAAAAUAGUUCUCCUAGAAAGUCCUUUAGACCACAAAGAAGUUAAGUGUACAACCUAUCCCAAAUCCUUUGGGCAUUUCUUUCCAACCAAAUAUACCAAAAAUGGAGCACAUUGAGCAAACCUAAUCUUCACCAACAGCGCCGCACAAAUUCCCAAAGACAUGUAAUUCUAUCAUUUUUUUUUGCUUAAACAUACAAAAUAUUGCAUAAACUAAACAUUUGUUUACCAAACAAUACACACAUAUAUAAGAAAUUUAUAAUAACAUUCCUAAAGCUCAAGACAAAAUAACUUGUUUUCCAUAAAAUAGACAUAAAAAGUAAGAUUAGAACCAAUUGAAAAUAAUUGCACUUGCUUCACAAACCUUGUCCUUUAGCCAUUGCAUGCAAAGAGCACCGAGCUUAUCAUCAAAAAACCCAACACCCAAUUGGCUUGCCAAUAAGGGUAUAUAUUCUAUGAUAGCAAGUCGAACUCUCCAGUGCCGAUCCUCGGCAAGCUCAACAAUAGCUGGCAACAGAGACUGAGAUAACAAAUCGAUACCAAUAACCUGCAAUCCACGUGUAAAAUUACAAGCUUCUAAGAGGUAGUAUAUGAAAAAUAAUAAUUUUGAAACGUACAUAGCCAAUCUAAAAGAACGUUGAAUUUUAAGCCACAAACCUGAUUCACUUGAUCAAGCUUGCUGAUAAUAUUUAGUCUGACAUCAGGAAAUUCGUCUUUCAAAAGAGAAAGGAAAAUAGGCAGGAGUUGCUCAAUUGUUGCAUCCUGCAACCACCACAUAAUUAUUGGAAAAGCAAGAAGGCACGUAAGUUGAAUUGCUUUUAGCUAGGAACAGUAUCAAGAGUUAAGGAAUAAAAUCAAAUAUUUUUCCCAACAGAGCAGAGUAUUAGUAAACAGAAACAAACGUGCUAGUAUGAGGAGAUGAAAAACAAUAAAGUGGAGAAAAUAGGCAGAGGUCCAAAAAUAAAGUGGAGAAAAUAGGUAAAGGUUUCACUUUUCAGUUUUUUAUAUUUUGUACAGACCAGAAUAUUAUUAACUAAUUUUUUUUUUCUAUAAGGGGAUGGCCAAAGUUUGGAAAGCAAAUAGACCAAAUCCUGCCAAAGGCAUGUAUUGUAGAGAUACAAAAGUAUGCCUAUUUCACCUCAUGCGGCAUGAUAUGUUUAUGGAUAGUGAUAAAUAUAUAACCUGAUGUUUAAUGCCACUGCAAGUGAUAGGUGGAGGAUCUAGAAAAUUUAAAGUGUGAAUGGGAACGAAACAAUACAUAGGCACAAAAACAAUCUACUCUUAACAUUCAUAUCAAUAAAAAAAGUAAUGAUAUUGUAUAGAAAUGUGAUCAAUCUAUUAGUCAAGAAGGAAUAAAGAAAUCAAGACCUGAAUGAAUUAUCUGAUUCGAAAGAUAAUUCUUGCCAUUUUUUAUGAAAAGGGAAUUAAGAUAAAGAGAAAAGCAUAAAUAACAAACCAUGAUCUUAAACUAAUUUGUACAUUUAAAAAAGGAUAGUUUCCCCCAAAAGCAAAAUUCUAACUCAAAAAUAACUAUGCAAGAAAAAGGUAUAUAAAAUUGAGUUAUCUGAGCAAUAGCCCAAGCGAUUGAGGUUAGAUGGUGAAUAGAUCAAGGGCAUAAAUUUAUCUCAUGGUAAUAACUCUAACAUGUAAAAUAAUUUUAUUUUUUCAAAAUCUUUAUUCAACUUAUUGAUUAGUGAGGGCAAUUUAAAUAUAUAGUAAACCACGAAAUCAUAUUCUAAUAGAAUUAAGGUAGAUAUGGCAAUUGCCCCAAGUUAUAAUAGGAUAAAACAUAUCUGCCAUGAGAAAAAAGCAUAACAAAACAUUUUUAACUAUUGAUGCAAAUGGGUACGAAUUUUGUAAUUAUCUAAUGUAUUGUAUAAAAAUGAAAAUACAGUAAUUAGGGAUAUCAUGAGCAGUAUAAUUUUGUAGCCCUUACUCAAUAUGCCUCUGGCUUUAAUUAUAAAUAAAAACCUCCAUUGUAUAAUCAAGACACAUGAAUUCAUUCACAUUACCUCUCGUUUUUCUCUCCCAUAACAAUUAAAUACUUAAGUCACAUUUGGAAAGACUUCCUUAAAUGCUAAACCAUCUAUUCAUAUAAUAACCUAAGUCGUAUGAUUUUCUAUCCCUUUUCAAACACUUCCGUAGACACAUUUGUAAAUGUCCUAAUUUUAUGUUUGUAUAAUUUAAGAGCUUAGAGAAAGCCUCAUACCUUCCCCAACACUGGUGCCAUUCCCAUUAUAACGGAAGCCAAUGCAGAGCGAACAUGUUGAGAUGAAUCGCUUGAUAGCUCCUAUAUUAGGUAAACUUGAUCGAUUGUAAUUGAGUUAUUAUCAUAAAUUUUAAAACUAUAAGAGACCCAAGGUAACUGUAUACCUUCACACAGGGUAGAAUAUGCUGAAUGGCAAGUUCAGGACUUAGAAUGCGGGAGAACUUAGUUACUUUCCCAGCAGCAGCAAUACGUACUUCAGCCUCAUUAUCACGCAGCAGCCUAACAUAGGCAGGAACCAAUUCUGACCUACAAAUGCAUCACAUUUAUAUAAAUAGUCAACUUGAAUCUAUGAAACAAAUACGUUUUAAUUUUUUAAAUAAUGUCAUAGAUUAUAAAGAAAUUAACAUGAGGUCAUAACUUGUAUACAUUAAAUCAUGAAGCAUAGUAGUUUUUUUAACCAAAUGAAAAAUGUUCAGUGAUUAGUAACACGGACUUUCAGAUAGAAGACAUAAAUGGUUACCUGGUGGGAUCAGGACCAACAGCUUCACAUAGCUCGUAUAGUUGAUUUGCAACCAUGUAACGAACACGCCAUGACUUGUCCUGUAUAAGAAGUAAUUCAACUAAGUAAAUGUGACAAAAACAAACAGAAAUUCACUUCAGAAAGUUGGAAACAACACAAGCCAGCAAAAACCAAAUUAAUUUUUUAUUUAGUUUUUUGGCUUUUGAUAUUGAGAACACGUAAAAAGGUUCUUCAAAAUGAGAAAAAGGAUGGGACUACUAAAUAUGAAAAGCGUGCAUACAACUAACUAACAGUAAAACCAUAAAAGAAUACAACUUCUAGAGACCUACAUCAGGAUUAAACUAAUUCAACUGUCAAAUAACUCCUGAUGCAAUUCAUUACUACUCACAAGUCAACAAACUCGUGUCAUGCGAAUUCAAUAUGUGCUAAUGAAGUGGUGUGGGGAAUGUUAUCACCCUAGCAGGUCCAUUUCCAACUUUAACCUUUUAAUUUGAAUUAGUUUAAGAUUAUCAUUCUUCCACCAACAAAGAUCUAGGUACAGUGCAUCAUAUUCAUACAGGUUAGAUGCUCAAUAUAAUUUGUAUUUACACAAGUGUAUGCUUCAAAAAGUAAUAAAUAAGCCACAAUCAUGCCGAAAACAAGUAGCUAUCAAGGGUAAAUAAAGAAUCCUUUCAUAUAAUAUUAUUCAACAAAAACAAAAUACUUUUCCCACACCGUUGUGUUCUGUCCAAAAUCGAGUCUUUAUAGAAGUUAUUUAGAUCUAAAUUAUUUUUAAUGGUUUAUGAAGUUUUCUCGCUCUUCCUCUACGUUGUACUAAUAGCCAGUCCUCCAUUUAAUCAACUCUAUUUCUGCAGCUUCUAUUGGUCUUCUUCAACAUGACCAUACUAUCUUUGGUGUAAUUCUACAUUUUUUUUUCUAAGAGGUGCUACCCUCGCUUUCUCUCUGUUAAGAGUAGAGUACUGAGCAUGUGUUUAGCAUGCUCGAGCUAUGAGGGUAAAUGUAUCCUUUGCACUGUCUCGUACUACAUUUUACUACUACUAGGAACUAGAGCUUAGCUUACUACACAUAAAUAAUAUACUAUAACCACAUUGAGACAAGUUUCUCUUAUUCACAAAGUUAAAUUUAAUUCCUAAUCUUAUGUAUUAUUUGAUGUGCAUCCUCUAUUGUUUAUUAUCAUGUCAGCAACACUAAACGAAGCCCAUGUUUGUACUAUGGCUGUGUAGUAAGUUGUCACUUAAGUCUGAAAGAAUAUUACAAAGCACCAAAAAUAAAUAGUUUUGCAGUUAAGUGUUUGCUUUCCAUCCCGUACAUCCUUUACAUUAGAAUAAAGAAAUUUGAACGGAUAAUAUUUUUCACGCACUCUUCCUGUGAAACAAAACAAAUUUAUUUGCAUAGUGUACAUAUGUUUGGAAAGGGACAGACCAAUAAUUAAACUUGUAUUCAGCCUAUCGAUAUACUCUUACAUAUAUAGUUAACUAAAGCAAUCCAAAUGUCGAAUUCAAGACAUCCCUUGGAUAAGUGUUGGCCACAAAAUGGCUAUGGAAGAUAUAUCUCUACAUAUAUAGAAUUACUAUUGGUCAACAAACCUGAGAAAAAUUGACUAUGACAGGAAGAAUAUGUGCCACACAAUCCUGAGGCUCCAACAAUUUUCCUAGAGCUGCACAACCCUCAACAGCAAGCAGCCGAACAGAAUCUUGAUCUGAAAAGAACAAGGGUCAAGAAAUCAUUGGUUAAUACACGCAACUCCAUCCAACCAAUCAACUUAAAAAAUAGACUAAAAUAACUAUUCCACAAAUGACCAUAAUGCAAUAAACCUGUAUUUAUUUCUCCCAUUAGUCAGUCUAAUAUACUGACUCAAACAAAAACUUCAGUAUGCCAAGGUUCCUGAUAAUAUUAUAAGGAAGAAUGAUACAAUUGUUCUAUUCAUGACUAGCAGUUAUGUGAAUUUCACUUGAACAGUUCCACCAUCUGGCGUCUUCCUAAUUAAAAAUAUUAUCACUGUUCCUUUUAUUGCAAAGAUCAAUAACAAAAGGCAAUCAGUGAAAGUCUGCAAGUGUCUGCAGUUAUUUAUAAACAGUUAACAUACAUAUUUCACCUUUUAUACCACGAUUUUGGACUAAGAGGAAACUAAGAUAAACAGAGAUCAAAUAUGAAAAGUUGAGAACCAUUAGACUGUUACAAAAUAUUUUUUGUAUUCUAGGGUCUUUACUUUCAUGAAUACCUUUCAGAUUAACAUCACGCAUGAAAUAGUUGAAACUUGUCUACGACUCCAAAAAUACCUUAAUCAGAUGCAAUCUAUUUUGCUUUCAGUUUGUUUUUUGUUAAUCUUGUGAACUUAAAUAUAUCUAAUUCCCAAUCUAGACAAGGUUAUUAUAGACAAACAUAAAUCCCUAGAAGAAACAGAUAGCCUGAGUAAUGUCAUUCACAGCUAACAAAGUACGUGGGUCCUCAACUCAUCUAAGCAGCAAAAUUUUUGAGCUAUAUACAAUUACAAACACUAAAACUGUUUCCUCUAUCCUACUAUUAUAUAACAGAUUAAUGAUGAGAUGCUGGAAUUCCCCGCAUCAUCUUCACAUACCAUCUUGUGUAAGAUCCUCAAACACAGACAUGAUGUCUGAUUUCAAGUGAGGAGCUUCAACGGUGGCAGCAAACUUUCCCAAGUUUGUAGCAGCAGAUCUCCUAACCAUCGGCAUAUCAUCUUGACAGAGUUGGCCAUAUAUGGCUCUCAGUUCAGUCUUCACCACCUCCGGCGCACUAGGGUAUGCAAUAUGGAACAAGCCGCAAGAAGAAACUCGUGCUGUGAACCACUCGCCAGCAGCCAGCCUCUACAACAAUGAAAAUAACAAAAACAAUGAAACCCACUCAAACCACAAUCAGACUCAUAAUAUAAUCCUAUUUAGAUAAAUUCCUCGUGAGCGAGUAAAAUGAAUUGAGGCCUAAGCUCAAAUCAACGUAUGCAUUUAAUUUUCAGAGAAAUUAUUUUCGUUAACUUCUCCGAAACCUAAGCGGCAUCAUUUGAUUUUAUAGCUUAUGGAAAACUCACUUCAAAGAACUUACAAUGAAGUUUAUACAAACAAAACCUAAAAUGAUGAAUAAAAACGCAGUGCAACUAUCUAUAUGUACUACCUUAACUAAAGGAAUGAAGUGUUCAACCAAAUCCUGCUCCUUCAUCUGAGCCCCAAUCCUACACAGCGACUCCACCGAUUUGUCUCUGACGCAAGUUUCCUCAACCGUGCAGAGCGUCUCCAACGGAGGAAGAAGCACGUUGGCGUGUUCCACGCCUCCCACGUAGGGAAUGAACACGCCCAAUUCUUCAGCCAUUGCGAGAAGGACUUCAUCGUCGUCGUCGUUAUUCUCGCUGAGAAACGGAAUCAGCUCCUUCCGCGUUCGCUCCUCGCCAAGCGCCCGCGCGAUCGUGGAGAGCCGUCGGAUCGAGUUCAGCCGCAGCUGAAUAUCCUCGUUCUUCAGCUCAUCGAUCAAUACGGCAAUCGGAUACAGAGGCUGGUCCACCAUCGCCAUGUGGUUUCACCGGAUCCUCAAAAACUGCAAGGAUCGGAGAUCAACGAUUCACUCGAUUUCAAUUAAGCAAAAAUUCAAAACACAAAACGACAAAAGGAAAGAGCGAGAGAGAAACAAGAAAUCUACAAUACACUGCUUGAUCUAAAGCAAUUGAGCCGUAGUUCGAAGAGAAAUUGAAGAAAAAAAUGAGAAAAAAAAUGAAUGAAUGUGCUGCUGUGGCAGAGAGAGAGAGAGGGAAGAAAGAGAAGUGAUGUUGUGACACCUGAGAGGGGAUUUGUUGAAGGACGGAGAGGAAUGGGAAUGUAGCGCGGAUCGGAUCUGCCGUUUGGAUUGAGAGAAAAUUGGUUUUAUAAUUUUCCCUGGAAUUUCACCAUUCUCGAGGGUGUAACUGCUUCUUCUCCUUGUAUUGUUCAUCAUUGGCUGCAAAUUUCUUCUUAUAAUUAUGAAAAAAAAAUAUAUAUUAUAAAAGAUUGUAGCGUAAAUAUGAUUUCUUCUUUAGAAUAAUUGAAAUCAAACUACAAAUAAUAUGCACUGUCAAUUAAUUCUUCUAUUGUAAAAAAAAGGUUUUAAAAUUUUUAAAUUGUUUCCUUUUUAAAUUUAUUUUUUGUAAUGAUAUUCCUGGGUUGGAUUGUAAAGACAAAGUAAUCCAUACGUCGAAAAGAAUUAUAAUAUAUAUUAUUAUAGUUGUAGCAAAUUUUUACUCUAUUGUUAUUGCGAGUAAUUGAAAAGAAUGAAAAUUUAGAAUAAUUUACGACUAAUAAUUGUAAUGAUAAUUGGUACAAAAUUUUAAUAAAAUAAUUAUAAAUACUAGGAUUAAAUAUGUUUUUAGUCCUAUAUUUUGGGACGAUUUUGGUUUUAGUUCUUCUUUUAAAUUAAGGCUGGUUUCAGAAACAGUAAAUAAAGUUAAGAAAAAUUUGAUAAAAAAAGACUAAAACCAGAAUUUUCUAAAGUUGAAGAAGAAAAUUAUACCAAGAGAGACUAAAAUCAAAAUCGCCCCAAAGUAUAGGGACUAAAAACAUAUUUAAUCCUAAAUACUACUAUAGACUAUCACAGAAUACGUAGAUGAUAUUCAAAUAUUGUCAAUAAAAAUAUUAUCUAAGUAUCAUUAUCCUAAUUGGAAACAAGAGUAUUUUAAUCAAUUAUUUUUUUUUUAUUUCUAUUUCUGUUAGGGAUUAAUAUUUUGAACUGAAGUAAUAAUUGUUUGAGCUUAACUUUUAUGUAUUGGGUAAAAAAGAGAAUUUUCAUAUUGAUAAUAAUUAUAGAAGUUAACAUUUUCAUACGAUAAUUUUUGUUGUUUGCAUGAGUAUUUUUAUAUCUUUUUUAUGCUUGUGUUAUUUAGAAUUAAUUUGUUUAAGAUUAAAAAAUUAAAUAAAACAAUUUAGUGAUUAUUUUGUCUAAAAAGUAUAAUUUGAACAUUUUAAAUAAAUAUUUGGACUAAUGAGUUUAAAUAUGAGAAUAAAGUAACAAUUUUAUCAUAUCAACAAUUACAUAACGCGAAAAAUUUAACCACGUUGAAAGCAAGAGUUUGUAGAUUCAUAACCACAUCAAAAUAAAAUAUUUUAUAUUUUUGUUAAAUAAUCUAAUAUAUAUAUAUAUAUAUAUAUAUAUAUAUAUAAAUUAUGUCAAAGUGUGUUUUUAGAAAAAAAUUUAUGUCUAUUUAUGAUUUUGAUUUAACCAAUGACAUCAAAUACUUAUGAGUAAUCACAUUAAAAAAAAUUAUUUAAUUCAAAUAUUACAUAAGUUAAUUAUUUGUUUUUAACAAUGUUUAUAAUGCUUUAGUUAACUCCACGUGUAAGCUUUUAUGAAUGAGGAGAUGAGAUUCUUGAAAUAAAAUAAAUUGAAAGAAUUAGUAGAUUAUCCGAUUGGAAAAAAAUGAUUAGGAUGUCGAUAAAUGUAUAUGUAAUAUAAAACACAUGGUAGAGUUGAGAUAUGCAAAGAUAGAUUAGUAAUAUAGGAAUAUACACAAGCAUAUGAAAUAAAUUACACUAAAAUAUUUGUUCUCAUAUUCAAAAUUAGCACAUUUUGAGUAUUAUUAUCUCUAGUUUUAAUUGAUCCUUUCAACGUUGAUAAAAAAAAAAAUGUCUUCUUAUAUUGAUAAUUGUCUAAAGAAGUUUAUAUGAAAUAAUUAGAAAGAUUAGAGAUUUCGAAUAUACACGAAAACAAGGUAUACAAGUCGAAUAAAUGAAUAUAUUGACUAAAACAUUCAAACAACCAAGUCAAUGAUGGAUUUUGAAUGUCAACAUAGCAACUAAAAUGAUACAUUACUUCUUAUGAUAUAUGUUGGUGAUAUGAUACUUAUGAGAGAUGAUUUAGAAGAAUACAAAACAUUGAAAUAGUACAAAAAAUUUACGACAUGAUCUUAAGCCUUUGAAAUAUUUCAUUGAAACAGAGGUCUCAAAAUCAAACUCCAACUAAUAAAAAGAGAUAUCAAAGACUUCUAAUGUAUUAUUCCUCCCCAGAUCCCAAAUCAAAGUUAACUUAAGGUCUUAGUGUAAUUAGCUAAACACAUGAAUGUUUUCUAAGAUACUUAGGGAAAAGAAACUUUGUUAAAACCACCAACUAUAAGGAUGUUAUGGUUUAUACUAAUAGAUAUUGGACAGGUCUUCUUGAUAAUAGAAUAUGAACCUUUGGAUUCUUCAUAUUUAUAGAGGUAACAUCAUAAAAUGAAAAGAAACAAAAGGUUGUAACUAUAUACAUUACAUAUAAAUACUAAAAAGAAUGCUCUAUGAAGGUUUCAGACCGAUUCAAAAUCCAGUUAUGUACAAUUUCUCGUUCGAUUGUAUUGUGAUAAUAAUAGUUGCAAGAUGUUUAUUGUCCUGUUCAAGAUGACUUUAAUAAAGUAUUGCAACAUGUAAAGGUUGAUAAUUAUUUUCAUCAAAAUAAAAGUUUGACAUAUUAUUACGACAAGUCACAGUAUUGGAGAUUAUUAAAUAAGUUAAGAAUAUACAACAUUCAUUUUCCACCUCAAGAGGAAGUAUUUAUAUAAAUAUCUUUGAUCACAUAAAAUGUGAAUUUAUAUGACAAUAAUAAAAAAAAUUAUAAUAAUGAAAAUUUCCUUAAUUUAGUAUGAUUGAUUUAUAAACUUUCUUGUUUAACUACUGAUUAGUAAGAGUAAAAUGCUAAAACCACAAACGAGUCUAUAUAUACAAAAAAAAAUAUAUUAAAAUCACAUAAUGAAUUAUUUUUUGUUUUUAUCAUACAAAAUUAUAUAAAUAAAAAUCAUAGAGGAAAUCCUAUUACCUUAGCAAUAGCACUCAGCGGUUGAUUUAGGUGAGUUGUUCUGGGGUUACGAAGUCAAUAAAGAAUGAUGGCUUUGAGGAUGAGUUCAGUUGAUCUCGAGGGAAAAAAAGGGUACACACCAUGAUUUUGGGAUUUCAGCAUUUAAUUCAGAUUAAUCAAUGCUGCCAUUUCUCAAAUUCUCAAUCCUUGACCGUCAAAACAUUACCCAACCGAUUCCAAAACCCUCCAGUUGUUGUUGGUGCUUGCUCAAGAGGGUCCUUAAAUUUUGCUCUCUCGCCUAACUCUUCGAAAGAAUCUACAAGGUUCUGGAGCCUUGCCACAAAUUCGAUCAGAAGGGAUGUAAAAGUGGCUAGAGACAAAGAACUAGCACUUUCAUAAGUUUUAGAUUCUUCCUCUUUUGUCACUGCAUCUGCUGUGAAGGAAAUAUGAGCAGGCCAAGAUAUCUGUUUCCUGAACAUGUUUUCAUCACCAACACCUACAGGCACUGCAGGUUUCUUCUCAGGAGCUGCUUGUUCUCCCCAACCUUUUGGAACUUUGACAGCUCUGAGAUCAAGCACAGCUUCACUUAGAGACUUGUACUCCAAAAAGUGUCUUUCUUCAUCCACGUUCAAGAGAUCUUGAGGAUCACCCUCCCCUCUUGGCCGGUUUCCGAUUUCCCAGCUCUCUGAAUUCACAAGGAGGAAGGAUUUUUUGUCAAUUUUCUGCUGCAAUUCUUCUGCUGCCUCGUGUACUUCGUAAAGAAUGUCUUCCUCGCCUAGUUUCUCCAUUUUUUUUACUUUGUUUCCGAGAUCCCUUAGAAUUUUUGCCCCUUCAGAACCUACCUUCUGAAGCUCCCUUUUAAAGACUUGUCUCUUCUCUGGUGGUGCCUGUUUAUUACAAGGGAGGCUAAGUACACGUGUGUUUUUGCAUAAAUCAUUAAAAAAAAACGUUUGGAAUAAGAAUUAAAAUUUCCCAACUAUUUAACUUUAAAUUAUCCGAAAUUUUGAAGUAUUCUCUGUCAGGAGAAAGAACACAAGAAAAGUAAUGUAAAAUUCAUUGAAAUCAUAAGCAACUAUCACUUAAAUUAUAAAAGUAUCAUUGUACUCCCCAAAGUUACUAAAAUGGCAGUCAUUUUAGUCCCUCGUGUUCUCAAACAUCAAUCUUACAAUCUUUGAAAUUAAAAAAAUAACAACCAAAAUUAUCAAUGGCUGGUAUAAGGACUGAAAUUAGAUUUUUUAUAAUUUCAGGCACUAAAUUAACUAGUAAUUGUAAUUUCAGGGAGUAACUAAGUACCUUACUCCAAAAAUACAUAGUAAAGGAUAUUUUAAUAGAUAUCUGAAGUGUGUUUUUAAGAUUGGAAAGAGAGUAGAGAAAUGGAGAAGAAAAGUUUCCCAAAAUUUCUAAGAAUUAAUUACAAACCUAAAAUAUGAACUGUACAAACAGAAAAACAGUUACAAAGAUAGUUAACUAUUCCUAACUAACUCCUAACUAACUCCCUGAUCUAUAAAGUCUAAACCACAUAAUAACACCACUUAUAGAUGUUAUGGAUAACUUAUUCCACCAAAGUUUCAAGCGUAAAUCAACGCACGCAGAGGGUACCUCCUAGCAGUAAUUUAGUUACUUCAUAUGAUUAGGAACCAUAACAGCAAUUGUGAAAGUAAAUUUAGAAGAAUUGGAACACAUUAUACCAAUAUACUGUUUUUGACAAGAAAUAGAAAAGCGAAAUAGUACUUUGGCCUCAUAAAAGCUUGAGUUAAUGCAGUGACCAUAUUCAACCUAUGAGAAUUAGAAAAGACAGCACUGAUUAGCAUGUCAAAUAUGACGAGGUGAAAACAACCUCAAGUUUAUCCGUUUCCAUGUCAAAAUUAACAGAAGGAUUUGUAAGCGAGAAACAAUAUACUGAAUCCCAGUAUGUAUCAGGUACCAGUAGUGUACACAUGGGGUAUAGUUGGGUUAAAGUUAAGAUCUGACUGCAUCUCUCGUUCAGCCACUAAGAAUACAAGAUUCGGGGGCUGAAGGGGUUAAUAGUGGAUAAUAAAAGUUAAGAGAAGCUGAAGUAAUAUUAGCUUUCUGAACUUGGGGAUCAAAGUAAUUGACAGUGGAUUACAAAAAAUGAAGCUAAAUUCCAGUAUGUCUGAGUAAAAUUGAUUUUUCCAGGUCUAAGGUUUAAAAUCAGUAGACAUUUCUCCAUAAACCCAAAUGGUUUAAUUUAAUAGUCGAUCUCAGUUUAGGAAAAAAAAACUUAGAUGAAGUUUGUUAAGUGCUUUUGGUUUUGUUCUCUGAUCAUAAUUAAGGGUUCAGCUGAAUAACCUAUGCUGACCCAUAGUGCAAAUCUUUAUAUCAAAAGUACUUAAGGAACUUGAUAUACGUUUUGUUCUAAUGAAUCCUCAGGUUCUGACACCUCACAUUGCUAGCCUCAAAACACCAACAGUCGAACCUGGAGUAAUUUUUUAAUCCCUAUUUAAAUAAACUAUCAAUUGUUUUUAAAACAGUAUAUGAAUCAACCUUGAAAAUUACCUUUUCUCUAAGUAUUAAACAUUUAAAACAAUUAAUAGAACUAACAUAUUCCAGUGAAAAAACAAACAUGGAGGGGAAUAAAUCAAGAAUGAUAACAAAAUAUUAAAAUAACAGAUCAUCACAAGAUCUGUAUAUUGAAAAACUAAAUCCUAAAAACCGUCCACCAAAAGUAAAUACAAAAGAUUCUAAACACUCUGAUGUCUUUGGAACAGAAAAGUUUUAAGAAGUACCUGUAUUUCAGAAAGUAUACAUCCAUGCAUAGCCAUGACCAUAAAUGCACAAUGCCUUAGAGCCCCACUUACUUUCACAUAAUUUUGCCAUGGAUAUCUAAGCAUUUUAUAUCUACCAUGAGGUGGCUCCCAUACAGCAAAACCCAUCUUCAAUAAGAAAUACGUAUCAAUGAGUCAAAAAAGGAUAAUCAAUAUUUUGCUGUGAAAGUGAAACAGAACAAAAACAGAUUAUACUAAUGAAUCCUCUGUGCUUGUAGAUUCAACAGCUGAUCUGUAGCCUUUGUAAACCACAUCCUCUGCAGCUUGGUAUGUAAGAAUUUUAGAAGGCACUCUCUCGUAUUCAACACAAUUAAGAUAGUUAUUAACAACGCCUGAAAAAGAAGGUCAAAAACUUUAUUCAACCCAAGAAAUAAGAUUAUGAGGCCACACCAAAAUAUUAGUUGGUAGUCUAUUACAAUUCCACAAACUAUGACAACCUUCCAAUGAUGCAGCAACGCCCAUGAAAUUUUUUGCCACAAGAUUAUGCAGAUCCUCACCGGCCCAUAUUGGAUAUAUGCAUACAUUUAUCCCGAGUGCGACAGCAGCACCAAGUGCAAUGAGCAAAAAUCUAUUUAUAGCUGUUUGAACAAACUCUCCUGUUCGAUACCCUGACACAAUAAUGUAGCAAUAGGUGAUCAAGAACACACGGAAACCAUAUUCAUAAGCCUUCAUUGUUGGAUAUUGUUUUGCAUAUGUGGCACAAAAUCCUGCCAGUCAUACAUAAUAAAACUGUCAGAACAAUGCAUACUAAAAAAAGAAAAAAAAAAUUGAUGAAUCUUUAUCAGCAUAAGAAAUAGAAGUGAUUCAAAUUCCAGACCUACAGUGAAGAUGCUAACAGUUAUGAUGAGCUCUUCCCAUUUUCCAGCCAACUGUGAUAAGAUUCCCAUUCCCAAAGCUAGACCUCCAGCUAACAAAGUCCCCAAUCCUCUGUUAAGUCCUUUACUAAGAGUUGCCCCUGCAGGAGUACAUUGUCACAAAUUAUUGUUUAUAACUGAAAUUAUAAUUUACGAAUACAUGUUUUACUUCAGCCAAUGAUUUUUGAUAGAAGUAUUGGAUUUAAUAAAAGAUGAAGUACAUGAACACAGUUGAAUUAAAUAAGUAGGCCUUCGAACAUGCAGCAGAAAAAACUAUAGCCUGUGAUUUCGUUCGUUACAAGACAGAAGAAAUCUAUAAGGAAACAAAAGUAAAACAUUUUUAAUAAAGGAAACAAUAUUUAAAAGCUCAAAAUAAUAUUUAACAAAAAAAUUGAGUUUUCCCGACCACUGCCCUGAAGACACUGGUCAACAAGUACUUUUCCCUAGAUUAGUAUUAUUUUUCUAGACAAACUAACUAAAUUAACAGAACCAACAUAUCACUCUACCACGAUAGAAUAUUUUAACUGAAUUCCUUCUACCUCCCCAAUGACCCAAUCAAAAUACAAAAUUAUACGUCUACUGAAAAGGUUUAAGGCCUUUAUGCACUAAUACAGGCAUAUUCUUCGCCAAUUCCCCUUGAGGAAGAGGAAUUAAAACCCCCAAAACGAAAACGAAAAUAAAAAUAGGAAACAAUUAUCUUAAUCCAUAGCGGAUACGAAUGACAACAACUUGAGCACGGACAACACUUUAUAUUAAUUAGGUCUUAUAAUUAAAAACAAAAAAGAGAGAGACAUGAAUUUGGUUGUCAAUCGCAUGUUCAAAUUUUGUAUGUUACUUUAGGUUUAAGUGAUAAAAGGACUAAGUUCGAGCCAAUUAUACGAAUCACGUGCAAUUCUAGACACUAAUAAUAAAUGUCUUUCUGGAAAGAAAAAAGUAAAAGGAAAGAGGUAUACUUUUUAAAUGUUAAAAAAUAAAGCUAUGAUUUUGAUGAACAUCAUGCUUAUAUCUAAUGAUGAGAGUUUAAUUCAGGUACAUAACACUACAUGAGUUUUCUAUACAGUUUUCUACACCGACCCUCAAUUAGAAAACAGACUCAGGCGCAUCCAGUGUAUUUAUGUAUAUAGUAUUUAUAUAUGUUAUUCGACAUUUUUUUUGCAUAGAUAUAUUCAACUUUAAAUUAGCUAUAGUUUCAAUAUUUGCUAAUUUCAUCUUAGAAAGCUAAAUUCCAAAAUAUUCUUUGAUUAAAAAUUCCACGAUAAUUUAGGUGAGGAGAUGUAAUUUUUCUUUUUAUAGUUUCAAUUUUUAUUGUAUAAUUGACCCACAUUUGUCCUAAGGAGAAAUACUCUUGGCUAAAUCGCAUACGACACUAUAAAUAAUAGUGAAUUCAACACUCAAACUACAUAAUAAAUCCAAAAAGAAACUUAAUCCAAAGAAAUCCUACUACUUUCUAUUUAAAAAUCAAAUCCAAAUUUUAAUAUAAAAAACAACAAAUGAACCAAUUCAGGUGGGGUCAACUAGAUUCUUGACUUUAAGUAAGCAUUAGGAAAUAACUGAAUGAGAUUAACUAUUAGUAUCAAAUUUAAUUUACAUCCUAAAACGUUAAAUAGUGUGUUAAUUUACAAAAAAUCAUGAUUCUGACAAAAAACUCUCUCCAGUAAUAUUUUUCAAGGAUUUGAGAAAGAUUGUUCUGAAGAAUUCUGAAAAAGGAGAGUAGAUUGAAGGAUGAGAUACCUAUGCUGAAUUCGAAGACCACAACUACAGUGAGAAUAGCCCAAACGGAGUAUCGACUAACGUCCUCAAAGGGCUUUUUGAGGAAAAUCAGAAGAGAAAGGAGAAUGAGAGCGAGUCCCAUUUUUGCGGAGAAUAUGAUCUUCCUGGGAUCAGACAUCCCCAUCUCCCACGCUCGCGCCGUCACGCGCUUCGUGCUCUUCCACGCGCCGAUUAUCCCGUCGGAGACAGCGCGGUAUGAGCAGCAUCGCCUCCGCGGCGAGUUGUCCUCCUCGUCGGACUCCGGCAGAGCGAUCCCAAUUUGGGAGUAACCUCCACCCUUCAUGGAGAGCAGCCUCUCUUUCUUCUCGGCGAAGCUGUGACGGAAGGAGCCCAACUUGGGCACCCUCGCCGCCGAACUCAUCAUCGCCACCAAAAUCGGAGCAAACGCAGACGCGAGUUUGGAGUUGCUAGAAAGGUGGAAUAGUGUUUCCGAAGCGUGGCGGUGUAGGAAUGCUAUAGAAGUUAAGUCGUGUUUGUUUGUGGUUAUGAAGAGCCACUAUGUACAUAACGUGAUUACACGACGACAUGGAUCUCGCAAUUCUAUUUUCUACUGUAAUCAUCUAAAUUAUUCUACUUUAUCUUUAAAAUACAAUAAAUAAAAGUUAGUAUCAAUUUUGUAAAAUAUAAAAACAUUGUUUUAUUCGAAACAAUUAAUAAAAUAUUUAUUUAUAGAUGCUAAUGUUAAUUUAUUAACAAUAAAAAUAAGGUUAAUAACCAUUUUAAAAUUAACAUAAAUGUGAUAACAAACAUCGACGAGAUGAUUUUGCUAGCAAUCUUAAGGUAAUAAAUUGAGUAUAGGAUUUCAUAAAAGUUUAUGUGGCUAAAAAUGUUACAAAAUAUAAUAUGUUAAACAUCUAUACAAACAUUAUAUAUAUUAUAAAAUAACAUCAAAUAAAUAUUAAUGUAGCAUUUAAUACUAUAAAUUGAUUGUACAUUUUAAAUAGUUAAAUAAAUAAUUUUUUUUAAUAUCAACUUAUUGUAUUAUUAAAUGCAUAACUCUUUUUAUAAAUACAUUUUAGUAAUAGAUUGAGAUUUGACCUUAUACUAAUUUAUCUAUCAUCGUUGUUAAUAUAUAAGGAUAAUGAUAUAUAGACAAUAUUAUUUUAAUAAUAUUUGAACAUUAUUUAUGUGUUAUGUUUGGUCCAUGUUGUUUAUGGUUAUUAUUAUUAAUUAUAAAAUAAUUUUAAAUUAAUCACAGAAUGAUAUAUAAAUAAUGUUAAAAUAGUGUAAAAAAAUAUUAUCUAAAUAAAAGAUCCUUAAAUGAAUUAGUAACGGUUUUAUUAACGUUGUUCAUCUACCAGUCGAACAUCAAGUUGAUGAUUCUCGCACCAAACCAAUCAGUGUUCUUCUUUUCUUGGAGACAUUAGCUUGAAGGGAUGUAAAGGAAUAAGCAAUAUACAAUUGUGUGUAUAAUAGUCUUUCCUUAAAAUAGGUUAGUGUCCUAGCUAGUGACUUUUGUCAUAUAGGUAUUUUUUCCUUUAUAUAAAGUUUUCGUCUUUUCUUUCUUUUGUACUUUUAACUUUUCAAAAAGAAUACUUUUCUUAUUCUUCUUCUUCAUGUCUUCGGAGUUUUUUUUUUUUUCAUGUUAAUGUUUCUAAGUUACAUAUAUAAAAAUAGAAACUUUAGUAAACAGAUGAUAAAACCAAUCCUACAUAAGUAUUCUUCAUGAUAUGUCUAUUAUUAAAGAAGAAAAAUUGUUCAAAAGGUAAUAUCAAAUCAUCACUAUUUCAUAGAGACAAGUUAUUAAGUUAGAAAAAUGUUUCAACGUUUUUUUUUAAUGAAAAUGAAGAGAAAAAGUGUGGAUGUAAAUAUAAGAAAAAAUUUACGUAAAACCACUUAUCAAUAUAUAUAAACAAAAUAAUUUACAUUGGACAAUGAACAUCCUAACGUAAAUUAUCUCAUUUAUGUUAGUUCAUAAGUAGUUUGAUAUAAAAUUGUCAUCACUUAUUAUUUUUAUUUCAUAUAUAAAUCUUGUGACAUCAAAGACAAUUUUUGUCUUGGUGUAAAGAUAACUCUAUUAUAAAAUAAAACUAUAUAUAAAUCUAACAAUUAUAAGCUUUAACAAACUAUGAUUAUUUAAAGCUACACCUUUUUAUUAAAAGUUAUUGUUUAAAUAAUGCAUUUGAUUUAUGCACGUAAACAUAUUAAAUUUUUCUAUAAAAUGUAUAUGCUCGUUUUAGAUAAUAAAACGUAGUAUUAUUGACUAGUUUUUUUUUUUUUUAAUUUUGAUCACGCAUGUUAAGAGUUUAAAUAUAAAUAAUAUUUUUAAUUUGUGUAAUUAAUUGGUAGUUGACCUGUGUAUAAUUUAGGUUUAACUUGCCGAUAGACGUAAUGAUCAAAUUUCCAAAGCUUACACAAGUUCGACAAAUAAUCAUCAUCACACUUAAAAAAUAAUUACAUUUUUCGUCUUUUCUAUUUCUGUCUCUUGCCAUAUCCAUGGUGUACUUAAUAGUAAAAAUGACUUACAAUGAAAAAUUAAAAGAAAAAAAUUUAAUAAUUUUAUUUUAUAAUUUUUAAAAUAAUAAUUUAUAAUUUGUCCAUUUUAAAUAUUUUUUUAAAAAUAAAUUUAUACAAACUAAUAAAGUAAUAAUAUUCGGCUAUCAAAAAUUAUUAAAAAAGUUGUUAACAAAUAUAUUUAAGACAUCGACAAAGCAUCAUAGGUGUCGAUAAAGAAAAAAAAACAUAGUUAAAAAGAAUGGCCCAAUAUACAUUUCUCGGUUAAGAAAAGCCCAACCCGUUAUACCAUGUAUUGGAGAGUUACUUCCUACACCACCUCUCCAUUCCUCUUUUGUCCUUCUAAAAUAUUUAAUUCCUGGUGUUUAAAAUGUAUUUACCUUAAACAGAUAUCUAUUGAACACUUAAACAAAUAUUGAAAUUAUGACGAAUAUCGACAUCUAUUGAAGGGCUCAACCCGUUAAAGGCUCAAUGGAUUUUCAACAUUCCUCGAAGCUUUUCAACUUUUUGUUUUAUUUUUUAAAAAUUUUUUUAGGUUUAAUACUACUUUUAGUUCCUAGUUUGAGAAGUUCUAUUUUUCUUUAGUAACAAUUAAUUUUAUUUUUUGAAAAAAAUAUUUAAUUGACUCUUUUUUUUUUAAGACGUCAAUUUUUUAACGGUCCUAUCCAAAUGUUAUUUUAACAGUCCUGACAUAAUAUUAUGUUAAAAAUCAUGUCAUCAUCGUAUACAAUAAGGAUUAUAAUAAAUAAUUUAAACUUGAAUAUAAAACUACUAUGAACAAAAAGGACUCAAUUGAACAGUUUUUUCAAAAGGUGAGAUCAAUUAUUAUAAAAAAAUGUAGGACCAUAUUGAACAAACCCUCCAAACUAAGAACCAAAAGAAGUAUUAAGUAUUUUUUUAUACAUAAAUAAUAAUACAAAAAUUAUUAAAUUACAAAAAAUCUACAGAAAUUAACAUUUACAAUGUUCAAAUAAUAAAAUCUACAAAAAAAUAAAUUAAUAAACUUAGAAACAAAACCAAAAAAAUUAAAAGAGUUGAAACGCGAAGGCGAGAUCCUUGAAGACUGAACGGAUUUCCCACAUCCGUUCAAGGGUUUGCUGUUCUCUUCUUCCUCUUACACGUUCUUCCUCUUACACGGCAUAACACAUACAUCCAUUAGAUAAGAGACUAAAUGAAACCAAACACCAAAAUAACAAAGCUUUAACAAUAAAAUUGUGAAAUGGAAGAAGAAAGGAGAAGAGACUAAUAUAGGAUGAGGGGACUGAUAUCAUUAAAUUUCAGUUAAUCAUAUCGGUUAAACACUAAAAUAGCUUGAAUAACAUUUAUAUUUAUUUUAAGUCACUGAUAUAUACACAUUAUCAAAAUUCAAGAACAUUUUUCCUAAAUUUUCCGUGGCUAACUUUCGAUUCUCUUAUCUUUAUCGAAUUGUCACAGGUGGCACGUUCUUCGUAUCUUUCACUGACACAGAAAUUCACACCCAUGCAUGGCCCGGGAAACUAAACCUUAUCCAUUUGGGCCUGUUCCACCGAUCCACCAAGUUCAGUUCGCACGUGUCAACUCAUGAUCCUCAAAACGACACCACCGCUUUCACAAAAAAUUACACCAACACGUGUCCAAGCACGUGGCAGAAGCAUCGUGCAACUCACAUGGCACGUGUCAUGCUUUUACGACCCUUGACCAGAUUUGUAUGCUUGGUUUCUCGUAUAAAAAGCCCAUGCUAGCAUGCUGCUUUUCAUCAACAACAGCACCUUCAAACACAACCUCCUAUAAUCACAACAACAUCAUCAACCAUGGCAAGUUAUCAGAAGCAGUACGAGGAUCAGGGUCGCAAGAUCGACGAGUAUGGAAACGUCGUAAGGGAAACUGAUGAAUAUGGCAACCCGGUUCAGGCUGCCAGUGUCACCUAUAUAACCUCCUCCACCGGCGGUGUUAGGGAUGACAAUAGCAAGCAACAUGAUACCAGUAAUGUCUACGGAUCAGACACCCGUAAACAACAUGGAACUAUAGGUGAUACCGGUAGACAGCAAGGACCAACCGCUGGCUUUACUGCUGACACUGGUAGACAACAUGGAACUACCGGUGGUUUUACUGGUGACACCCAUAGACAAUAUGGCACUACCGGUGGUUUGACCGGUGACACCGGGAGACAACAUGGGACUACCGGUGGUUUUACUGGUGACACCCGGAGACAACAUGACACCGGGAGACAACAUGGGACUACCGGUGGUUUUGCUGGUGAUACCGGGAGACAACAUGGGAAUACCGGCGGCUUCACUGCUGACACUGGUCUGGGAGGCCCUUACGUUGGAGCCAACACCGCUGACACAGGGACUGGUCCUAGAAGUGGAACCACAGGUGGCAGCGGCUAUGGAUCGGGUGGUGGCGCAGGUGGUGGUUAUGGAAGUGGAACUGGGCAUGGUAUCAACACUGGGGGAGCACACAGAGAUGAUGGGUAUGGAAGGGAGUAUCGUGAGCAUGACCAGUCUCGUGGAGAUCAGGACAAGAAAGGGAUAAUAGACAAGAUUAAAGAGAAGCUUCCCGGAGUACACAGUGACAACAGCAAGUAGAAACAUAUGUGUGUGUUUGCAUGCAUGUAUACUACAUAGUAUAAACAUGUUAUAUUGUUGUGUUUUUGAAUAAGUUUGCUGCAUAUAUACGUACUCGUACAGUACUGUCUUGUCGUGUAAAUGUGGUGGAUCUUGUAUAUGGUUAAAGUGUAUGCAAGAGGAAUAAAAUGUGCAUGCAUGCAAGGGAAAGAAGGCAUAGAUGUUCUGUUCUGCCAAUGCAUAUGUAAAACCUACCCUGUUGUAUAGCAGGGUGCUUCAGUUGUGUGUUUUAAAUUUUCCAAUGAAGCAACUUUUUAUUUCUUUCUUUCUUGAUCAUUUAAAUUUUAUGUGACCAGCUAUUUUCUGUUAUCACCUUCCUUAAUAUCUUUUUAACAUGCAUAAGAGAAAAAUUGUUAGAAAGAAUCACUGG